RNAcentral lists this ribosomal RNA (375 nucleotides) under uncultured Hyphomicrobiales bacterium. Its description in RNAcentral is "bacterial SSU rRNA". It matches the Rfam family "Bacterial small subunit ribosomal RNA", at positions 1 to 409 of the family's 1533-position model. The record is from RNAcentral. Lineage: Bacteria; Pseudomonadati; Pseudomonadota; Alphaproteobacteria; Hyphomicrobiales.
UAGUGAGUUUGAUCCUGGCUCAGAACGAACGCUGGCGGCAGGCUUAACACAUGCAAGUCGAACGCCCCGCAAGGGGAGUGGCAGACGGGUGAGUAACACGUGGGAACGUACCCUUCGGUUCGGAAUAACUCAGGGAAACUUGAGCUAAUACCGGAUACGUCCGUAAGGAGAAAGAUUUAUUGCCGAAGGAUCGGCCCGCGUAGGAUUAGCUAGUUGGUGGGGUAAUGGCCUACCAAGGCGACGAUCCUUAGCUGGUCUGAGAGGAUGAUCAGCCACACUGGGGACUGAGACACGGCCCAGACUCCUACGGGAGGCAGCAGUGGGGAAUUUUCCGCAAUGGGCGAAAGCCUGACGGAGCAAGACCGCGUGAGGGGA